CCUACGGGAGGCAGCAGUGGGGAAUAUUGCACAAUGGACGAGAGUCUGAACCAGCCAAGUAGCGUGAAGGAUGACUGCCCUAUGGGUUGUAAACUUCUUUUAUAUGGGAAUAAAAUGUUCCACGUGUGGGAUUUUGUAUGUACCAUAUGAAUAAGGAUCGGCUAACUCCGUGCCAGCAGCCGCGGUAAUACGGAGGAUCCGAGCGUUAUCCGGAUUUAUUGGGUUUAAAGGGAGCGUAGGUGGAUUGUUAAGUCAGUUGUGAAAGUUUGCGGCUCAACCGUAAAAUUGCAGUUGAAACUGGCAGUCUUGAGUACAGUAGAGGUGGGCGGAAUUCGUGGUGUAGCGGUGAAAUGCUUAGAUAUCACGAAGAACUCCGAUUGCGAAGGCAGUUCACUGGACUGCAACUGACACUGAGGCUCGAAAGUGUGGGUAUCAAACAGGAUUAGAUACCCUAGUAGUC
This 460-nucleotide ribosomal RNA is filed under the name uncultured bacterium. Its description in RNAcentral is "partial 16S ribosomal RNA". It matches the Rfam family "Bacterial small subunit ribosomal RNA", at positions 338 to 795 of the family's 1533-position model. The record is from RNAcentral.